This 443-nucleotide ribosomal RNA is filed under the name uncultured bacterium. RNAcentral describes it as "SSU rRNA". It matches the Rfam family "Bacterial small subunit ribosomal RNA", at positions 26 to 518 of the family's 1533-position model. The record is from RNAcentral.
AGAACGAACGCUGGCGGCAGGCUUAACACAUGCAAGUCGAACGCCCCGCAAGGGGAGUGGCAGGCGGGUGAGUAACGCGUGGGAACGUACCCUUUACUACGGAAUAACGCAUGGAAACGUGUGCUAAUACCGUAUGUGCCCUUCGGGGGAAAGAUUUAUCGGUAAAGGAUCGGCCCGCGUUGGAUUAGCUAGUUGGUGGGGUAAAGGCCUACAAGGCGACGAUCCAUAGCUGGUCUGAGAGGAUGAUCAGCCACAUUGGGACUGAGACACGGCCCAAACUCCUACGGGAGGCAGCAGUGGGGAAUAUUGGACAAUGGGCGCAAGCCUGAUCCAGCCAUGCCGCGUGAGUGAUGAAGGCCCUAGGGUUGUAAAGCUCUUUCACCGGAGAAGAUAAUGACGGUAUCCGGAGAAGAAGCCCGGCUAACGUUCGUGCCAGCAGCCGC